Molecule: transfer RNA, 75 nt
Filed under: Clostridia bacterium
Lineage: Bacteria; Bacillati; Bacillota; Clostridia
Also listed under: 1 other name
Description: tRNA-Thr
Rfam family: tRNA
About the family: Transfer RNA (tRNA) molecules are approximately 80 nucleotides in length.
Source: RNAcentral
GCUGGUGUAGCACAGGGGUAGUGCAGCUGAUUCGUAAUCAGCAGGUCGAGAGUUCGAAUCUCUCCACCAGCUCCA